This 422-nucleotide ribosomal RNA is filed under the name uncultured Mucilaginibacter sp. RNAcentral's name for it is "bacterial SSU rRNA". It matches the Rfam family "Bacterial small subunit ribosomal RNA", at positions 355 to 774 of the family's 1533-position model. The record is from RNAcentral. Lineage: Bacteria; Pseudomonadati; Bacteroidota; Sphingobacteriia; Sphingobacteriales; Sphingobacteriaceae.
UAAGGAAUAUUGGUCAAUGGGCGGAAGCCUGAACCAGCCAUGCCGCGUGCAGGAAGACGGCCCUACGGGUUGUAAACUGCUUUUAUACCGGAAUAAACCUUGAUACGUGUAUCGAGCUGAAUGUACGGUAAGAAUAAGGAUCGGCUAACUCCGUGCCAGCAGCCGCGGUAAUACGGAGGAUCCAAGCGUUAUCCGGAUUUAUUGGGUUUAAAGGGUGCGUAGGUGGCCUGUUAAGUCAGGGGUGAAAGACGGUAGCUUAACUAUCGCAGUGCCCUUGAUACUGACGGGCUUGAAUGGACUAGAGGUAGGCGGAAUGUGACAAGUAGCGGUGAAAUGCAUAGAUAUGUCACAGAACACCGAUUGCGAAGGCAGCUUACUAUGGUCCGAUUGACACUGAGGCACGAAAGCGUGGGGAUCAAACA